UGGUUUGCUUUAAGCGCGGAUGGCAUUAAUCCUUUCAGGGAGCAGAGCAGCAAUCACAACACCUGGCCCGUGACUCUAUGUAUGUAUAACCUUCCUCCUUGGAUGUGCAUGAAGCGGAAGUUCAUUAUGAUGCCAGUUCUCAUCCAAGGCCCUAAGCAACCCGGCAACGACAUUGAUGUGUACCUAAGGCCAUUCGUUGAAGAACUUUUACAGCUGUGGAAUGGAAACGGUGUACGUACGUGGGAUGAGCACAGACAGGAGGAAUUUAACCUUAAGGUGUUGCUGUUCGUGACCAUCAACGAUUGGCCUGCUCUCAGUAACCUUUCAGGAAUUUAG
RNAcentral lists this ribosomal RNA (336 nucleotides) under Triticum aestivum (bread wheat). Its description in RNAcentral is "partial small subunit ribosomal RNA". Lineage: Eukaryota; Viridiplantae; Streptophyta; Magnoliopsida; Poales; Poaceae. The record is from RNAcentral.